AUGGCGUCUGGCUCUGUUCCCCUUGGGAGGACUAGGAGGGGGCUGGUGUCUUGCGCGCACACCCUCAACUGCCGCGCCGACGACGCGCCUCCUCUCCCCCUCGACCUGGAAAACGCCGUCUACGAGCUUAUCGUCGGCUUCUACGACCGGGCAUUCUACCGGCUGCCCUGCGGGAGGAUUCCGGGCCUCCUCGACCUCCUCGCAACCGGCGGGUGCGGCACCAGCCUCGGCCUCCUCGACCCCGUCUCCAACAUCAUCCUCAACACCAUCGCCCUCCUCCCGGAACGCGCCGCCGACGCCGCCUCCACCGCUCCACCCGCCGCAAAGAAGUCCAAAAGACCAGCGCGCAACGCCUGGCAGUGGCACGACAUUGCAAACAGGUCCUACAACAGUCUCCUGGGCUUCCUCAUGGCCUACUUCGGAUGUCUCUGCACCAAGCAACAGGCCACCCACUACCUCUACUGGGCCGACGCCAAUCUCAGCCUGGCCGUCAUGCUCGUCCAACACGAUCUCUACUAUGCGGAGGCGGAGGCACUGGACCCUGAAUCCGACAGGACGCAGGCCGCCCUGGAGUGGGCGGCCACCAUGGCCGGUCACCCUUCCCCCAGCGUUUUGACCAAGCUCAUGUCAUCCCGGCUCAAACAGGACGACUUUCACCUUCUUCUGGAGAAGCAACUCUUUUCAGCAGCAGAUGCCCCUCUUAACGCAGAUAAUGUCGGAGAAAUCGACCGCAUAUUGCGCGUGAUUAUGAGCCCGCCCUGUCUUGCCACCAUAAUCCAUACCAGAAAAGGGCCGAUUCUCCAUGUCCGUAAGAGCGUCGACACCAUGUGAGCAGAUGGCUUGGAACAAUAUUUAAAGAAGACCUCGUGCAGCAUUGACGCCUGCGAUUACCUGCAAACCCUCAAGAUGCGCCUCCAAGGUAUGAUUCACAACUUCUGCAUCAAGGCGCUCAAGCUGCUGCCCACACCAUCCGGCUCGCUCAUGCGUGGCUUCCUCAUGGCCGGCCACUGCUACGGCUCCAUGGACCCUGUCUCCAACAUCAUCGUCAACUCCAUCUGGUACAACAGCCACAGCUGCCCUCUCCCAGAGUCUGAGCACAGCAAGAUUGAGAAAUACAAUGACAUCCUGGAUCCCCAUUCUCUGCUCCGCACACAGGUUCACUCCCUCAAGGGCCUUAUGGAGCUUGCCGCAUUCGCCGGCCCCCAGUUCUCAAUAGAGGCUUGUGCUCUGGAGUUGCUCUGCGGUGCGGGAUGUGACAUCAUUGACAUGUUAUUGCCAUCAUCGCCAGAGAUGCUUGAAAAGAAGAACCCCUUCCAUGAAGCUGCCAAGGCCGCUAGACACCCUCUACCGCUUCAGCUGGGUGAACUGCACCGGCUUCUGCUGCUGAUGCCUGAUGAGCGAAGCCCUCUGCUCUCCUUGAUGACUGAGGCUCGAACUGGCCAUACUGUGUUGCACCUCGAUGACAUGACACUUUAUAUGAGGCGCUUGUGGCUCAAAUGCUCGGCUGCCAAAACUGGUGGCAUUGUGCAAGCUCCUAAACUUUUUCCAAAGUCUCGGAAGUUGGUGUCAAGCAUGAGAUCAAAGUAUGAGAAGCGGAGGAGCUGGUUCCGUUCAAAGAUUGAACAGGUGUUGAAGGAUUACACGACCCAGCAUUUUUGGGAACCAAAAUAUAAACUUGAUAUUAUCUCUGGCGUGGAGGCAAUGAACCAGGGCCGCCCCCCCUUGGGCCGUUGCUACUAUGGCGAGCAAACCGCGAGGAAAAUUGUGUAUCCUGAUGACGCCAAAUACAUCCCGCACGAUAUCACCCAUUACGGAACCCGGCGCGUGGAUGACAUGCUAGAGAUGGAUGUCGUCCACUUCAGUUCCGAGAUGGACGUGGAGCUCACGGAGAAACUCAACAAGAUGCAUGCCCAUUGA
RNAcentral lists this ribosomal RNA (1917 nucleotides) under Triticum aestivum (bread wheat). Its description in RNAcentral is "partial small subunit ribosomal RNA". Lineage: Eukaryota; Viridiplantae; Streptophyta; Magnoliopsida; Poales; Poaceae. The record is from RNAcentral.